GAUGAAGAACGCAGCGAAAUGCGAUAAGUAGUGUGAAUUGCAGAAUUCAGUGAAUCAUCGAAUCUUUGAACGCACAUUGCGCCCCUUGGUAUUCCAUGGGGCAUGCCUGUUCGAGCGUCAUUUGUACCUUCAAGCUCUGCUUGGUGUUGGGUGUUUGUCUCGCCUCUGCGUGUAGACUCGCCUCAAAACAAUUGGCAGCCGGCGUAUUGAUUUCGGAGCGCAGUACAUCUCGCGCUUUGCACUCAUAACGACGACGUCCAAAAGUACAUUUUUACUCUCUUGACCUCGGAUCAGGUAGGGAUACCCGCUGAACUUAAGCAUAUCAAUAAGCGGAGGA
This 337-nucleotide unclassified non-coding RNA is filed under the name soil metagenome. RNAcentral's name for it is "partial contains 5.8S ribosomal RNA, internal transcribed spacer 2, and large subunit ribosomal RNA". The stretch from base 1 to 120 matches the Rfam family "5.8S ribosomal RNA", at positions 35 to 154 of the family's 154-position model. The record is from RNAcentral.